GAUGAACGCUGGCGGCGUGCUUAACACAUGCAAGUCGAACGAACCUUCGGGUUAGUGGCGGACGGGUGAGUAACGCGUGAGAAUCUGCCCUCAGGAGGGGGACAACAGCUGGAAACGGCUGCUAAUACCCCAUAUGCCGCGAGGUGAAAUGAAUUUCGCCUGAGGAUGAGCUCGCGUCUGAUUAGCUAGUUGGUGUAGGUAAUGGCUCACCAAGGCAUCGAUCAGUAGCUGGUCUGAGAGGAUGAUCAGCCACACUGGGACUGAGACACGGCCCAGACUCCUACGGGAGGCAGCAGUGGGGAAUUUUCCGCAAUGGGCGAAAGCCUGACGGAGCAACGCCGCGUGAGGGAUGAAGGCCUCUGGGCUGUAAACCUCUUUUAUCAAGGAAGAAGAUCUGACGGUAUUUGAGGAAUAAGCCACGGCUAAUUCAUCAAGUACCGUCAGAUCUUCUUCCUUGAUAAAAGAGGAAGAUCUGACGGUACUUGAGG
This 488-nucleotide ribosomal RNA is filed under the name uncultured bacterium. RNAcentral's name for it is "bacterial SSU rRNA". It matches the Rfam family "Bacterial small subunit ribosomal RNA", at positions 28 to 531 of the family's 1533-position model. The record is from RNAcentral.